UACAGAGGCCCCAAGCGUUAUCCGGAAUCACUGGGCGUAAAGGGUGUGUAGGUGGUUGCGUUAGUCGUCUUUCAAAUCUCCCGGCCUAACCGGGAAAAGGGAGGCGAAACGGCGCAACUCGAGGAUGCGAGAGGUAUGUGGAACUCAUGGAGUAGGGGUGAAAUCCGUUGAUCUCAUGGGGAACACCAAAAGCGAAGGCAGCAUACUGGCGCAUUCCUGACACUGAAACACGAAAGCGUAGGUAGCGAAUGGG
RNAcentral lists this ribosomal RNA (253 nucleotides) under uncultured bacterium. Its description in RNAcentral is "partial 16S ribosomal RNA". It matches the Rfam family "Bacterial small subunit ribosomal RNA", at positions 524 to 776 of the family's 1533-position model. The record is from RNAcentral.